This 69-nucleotide transfer RNA is filed under the name Podarcis lilfordi (Lilford's wall lizard). Its description in RNAcentral is "tRNA.Ala". The stretch from base 5 to 61 matches the Rfam family "tRNA", at positions 8 to 63 of the family's 71-position model. Rfam says of the family: Transfer RNA (tRNA) molecules are approximately 80 nucleotides in length. Their secondary structure includes four short double-helical elements and three loops (D, anti-codon, and T loops). Further hydrogen bonds mediate the characteristic L-shaped molecular structure. tRNAs have two regions of fundamental functional importance: the anti-codon, which is responsible for specific mRNA codon recognition, and the 3' end, to which the tRNAs corresponding amino acid is attached (by aminoacyl-tRNA synthetases). tRNAs cope with the degeneracy of the genetic code in two manners: having more than one tRNA (with a specific anti-codon) for a particular amino acid; and 'wobble' base-pairing, i.e. permitting non-standard base-pairing at the 3rd anti-codon position. Lineage: Eukaryota; Metazoa; Chordata; Lepidosauria; Squamata; Lacertidae. The record is from RNAcentral.
GUCAUAGCUCAGUGGCAGAGCAUCUGCUUUGCAUGCAGAAGGUUCAAGGUUCAAUCCCCAGCAUCUCCA